GGCUGCAGUAUAUUAACUGUGCAAAGGUAGCAUAAUCAUUAGUUUUUUAAUUGAAAGCUGGUAUGAAUGGUUGGACGAAAUAUUAACUGUUUCAUAAAAAUUUAAUAUAAAAUUUUAUUUUUUAGUUAAAAAGCUAAAAUUUAUUUAAUAGACGAGAAGACCCUAUAAAUCUUUAUAUUAUUAUAAUUAUAAUAAAUUUUUAUAAAUUUUUAUUUAUUAUAUUAUAAAAUAUUUUAUUGGGGUGAUAUAAAAAUUUAAUAAACUUUUUAUAAUUUAUUACAUUAAUUUAUGUAUAAUUGAUCCAUUAAUAAUGAUUAAAAAUUUAAGUUACUUUAGGGAUAACAGCGUAAUUUUUUUGGAGAGUUCAUAUUAAUAAAAAAGAUUGCGACCUCGAUGUUGGAUU
This 403-nucleotide ribosomal RNA is filed under the name Vibrissina turrita. Its description in RNAcentral is "partial 16S rRNA". Lineage: Eukaryota; Metazoa; Arthropoda; Insecta; Diptera; Tachinidae. The record is from RNAcentral.